GGCUCAGUUGGGACCCCAACAACUCAAGUACAUGACUGUCCUCAAAGACUCUUCUGAUUGUUUAGACUUGUUCAGUCCCUUUGAAAUUGCAGCUGAGGAUUGAGAAGAGAGGUUCUUGGCCUGUGAAGCUGACCUCACAUGGUUCUUGGCAUGCUGCACAACUGACCUUACUGUGUAGUUCCAUCUGCAGAUACCUUGGUCUUUCAGUGCCUCCACAGCUCCAAUACUAGCUGCAACAAUCCAUGCUCUGCUACUUGAACUCAUCCUUGCAGAUACUGUAAUCUUGAUUCUUGAAAUAGAAAUAGAAGUUUGUUUAAGAGAAAUACUGUGUGAUUUUGUUGGUAGGUAAGUGAAGGGGGCUGCUUAUAUUGAUAAGAUGGGGGAAUAAUGAUGGAUUAGAAAGCCAAAAAUUAGAAGGAAACUACGGGCAAUUUGCCGGUGGUUUUCGACAGUGGUUUUUAGUUUUCUUUCCAUGGCAAGGUAGGUCCGACGCAUUUGGUAUAGUAUGACUUAAAUACCCAUCUAAAAUCACUUGAUGACAGGAAAUAAAGGAGGGCAAUAAAUGAAAUUUAGGACAGCAUUCAAUCGUGACAUUAUUAAAAAUGGGCUUGUUUAUUAAUAAGUUUCAACUUGGAGACCUGAAAUAUGUGACUACAAAAAGUCUAAACCACCUGUUUUCUCCCCUGGGAUUGGGAAUUGGAAAACAGACUGCAGUUUUUUUUUUUUUUCAUUUUAUGAAUAAAAAAUCAUCCUCCUAGGGAAGAAGGUCCAAGUGAUGAUCCUAUUAUCUAUGGAAGUUUUUGGAAGAGCAUUUAGAGUAUUGAAUUGAUCCAGUGGUAUGUACUGAUGCGAAUUAGAGAUUGAGACAUUUGAAUAUUUUAUGUUUGCCCACGCAGAAGGUGUUUGGAAAGUUGUAACGUUAAGUUACUGUCCAAGAAAAGAGGGUUUAGAGGAUUCCCGCAUUGGUGGUUGGAGAUUUUGAAUUGGCUCGGGAAAAAUGGGUUGUGGUCUGAAGUUGGUUUGAUUGCUAAUACUUGUUGGUCCCUUUGGAAGGCACGGAAUGAGUUGAUGUUUGACAACCGUGCUUGCGAUUCGAUUGCGACUUGGAACAGAGCUUUGCUCGACAACCCUUGCGUUUCUGAAGGAAGCGAUCAAAUGAAACCGGUUCAUAACGUGAGUGAAAAUCAAAGAUGGUGAAAACCAACAUUUGGAACUGUUAAAAUUAACUGUGAUGCGUUGAUGGAUUCGGGUUCUCCAAUGACUGGUGUAAAGCCCAAAAUUUGCUCGGGCCCAACACACUCAAAACAGUCCAAUUACAAAAAAACAAGCUCAGAUUCCACUACCCAAAUUACAAUGCCCAAAUAAACCAAAACCUUAAAGCCUAAAUGGCCCAAAAUCUAAAACAAUUUCAGCCAAUCAAAAAGAAAGGCAGAAACCCUAGGUGCGCCGCACCUAGGUCCACACGCGCGAUGCCUUCACACGCCUCCACGUCCAUUGCUCCGUACAUGCAAGAAGGACAAACAACCUGCAACGAACACACGGCAGCAAAAAGAAAUGACAGAAAAGGGGCAACAGAGGGGAUUUGGGAGAUUUUCUUUUUAUUUUAUUUUCUUUUUAUUUUUUUCUGUAAUUCUGGCCAUAAAAGGCCAUUCGAAUAUUGUAAACAAAAGGGAGGAGGCAUAUUGUAUACAAAAAAAAUAUUCAGAGGAAUCGGAAAAAAAAAAAGGAUUUGAAAAGGUGAUUUGUAGUUGCUUUUGUUCUGGGUUUUUCUUUUGCCUUUCUCGGUUUCCUUUCAUUUCUGUCUUUUUCUAUAUAUGCAAAACAACAAAAAAAGGAGAUAAAAAAGGGGCUUAGGGAUCUUACCGGGGGUCGGUACGUCGCCAAAUCCCUCCAUCGUUUAGGUCGAGGUUGAAUGAGAGGGGAGGGACCUUCGAUUUUGAAGCGGCGCAGAGAGGAGAGCGUUCGGAUUCCUUUUAUUUUAUUUUUGUUUUUUAUUUCCGUUUUGAAAAAUGAAAUGGUGGCUGCCAAUUUAGGGUUUGGCUUUUGACCUUUGCCUGUUGUAUGAAACGACGCCGUUUGGAGUCUGACAGUGGCUCCAAAACAGCGUCGCAUCGAUCCAGAUCCAUUCGCGACCCGACCCGCUCCAUGGGGGAUCCGCGUGUUUUGAUUAAUGGGUUAUUUACAACCCUGGUCCCUUCGCUUUUCAAGCGCGCUUCAAUCUAGUUCUUUUAUUUCUUUUUAAAUUUAAUCUCUUAUUUCAUUUUUGUUUCAUUUUAACCCAGCUUGCAACGCUGCGUUUUGGGGAAGCGGGAUAUUUCCCAAUCGGCCUCCAUGUAAUUCGCGCAUUGCAGUAUGGCCUUCCAUUUUAGCUUAAUCUUAUUUAUUUCCUGAUAAUUCGAUUUUGAUUGCGAUUUAACUCUUUUCAUUAUUCAAUUUUUUUAUUAACAAAUUUACUGUUAUUAUUAUUAUUAUUAGUAUUAUCCUACGUAUAUUUAUCAUUAUUAUAUUUAUUAUCAUUUUUAUAUAUCCGCUUUUCGUAUAUAUGCAUUAUUUUAUUUUACAUGCAUCUUUUUAAGGUUUCUUUCAAAAUUUUUUAUAUAUAUUUACCCUUUGUUAUGACAUACUAUUAUUAAUAUUUCUUAAGUUUAUUUUAUUUUAAGUGUGCUUUUUAUAAAUUCACUCAUUAUAUAUCUUAGAUUUAUAUAAAUAUACACUUUCAAGUAAUACUAUUAUGUGAUAAUACUACAUAUGUAUACUUAUUCUAUGUCGAAUUAUUUUCAUCAUAUAUAUGCAUACAUACAUACGUACAUAAUCCAUUGUUAAUUUCACAUUAUCGUAUAGAUAUUUUAUUUCUCUCAAACAUUUUAACAACCUAUUUUAAACAUUGUUAAUUCAUUCAAAUUUGUUUCAACUUUUUAAUUUAUUUAAAUUAGGUUUAAGCUUAUAUAUUUCAUUUGAGCUAUGUGAAUUUGCUUGACUUUUAAUUAGUCUCCUCUUGUUAGCCAAUGUUGAUAUUUAUGUGAUGUAUAUUUGAAAUUAUUAUUGUUAUGCUUGUUCGUAUUUGUUCAUUGGUUGCUUAUUGUUCAUUGAUGUGCAUUUUAUCUUUGAAUUAUCCUUUUCGCGUUUUAUGAAAACAUUUAACCAUAUUACAUUGUUUAAGAGAUUGUAUUUUACUAAAAUAUCGAAAUAGUUUUAAGUUUCGAAAAUACCCUACGUCCAAUGAUUCUCGAGAAAAUUUUGCCUUAACUUACUGGGCUUCGAUUUUCUUCGUUGAAUUUAAGUGGCCAAUGUCUUUAAAAUAAAACCGUAAUUUUUAAAUAAAUUUUCUCGGGAUUUCAAAAUGUUGGUCCCUAACUCACUAGAUCUGACAACUUUACUACCUCGAAUUAAGGAUUUUUAAGAUAAAUGUAAUAUUUGGUGUUUAGGAAUCUCGGAAAAUUAAACCCUAACUUACUGGGUUUUAACUUACCGUUUAACUCAAAUAACCAGAUAUCCUUCUCAAAUUAAAACAUGCGAGUUUUAAAAAUUUAAAAGAUAUACCUAAUUUCGAAUAUUGAACUGUCGUACUCUAACUUACUGAGUGUGGCAAUUUAUCUUCUCGAAAUAAGUGAGUCUAUCAUCCAAUUCAUUUUAUUCGAAUUUUCUUUUUAAAGGAUCGUAUUUUAAAAUCUUUUCAAAAUUUCGACAUUAAGACAUUAAACAAUCAAUUCGGUACCAAUUUUGGGCGUCACGAGGGUGCUAACCCUUCCUCGUGCAUAACCGACUCCCGAACCUGUUUUCUCAAAAUUCGCAGACCUAAAAUUAUUUUCAAGAUGAUCCGAUCAUACCUCAAUAAAAGAUUGGUGACGACCCCCAUUUUCAUUUUUAAAAGUCGAUUUCCCUUUUUAAAAAAAUUUAUUUUUCAAAAAAAUAGUUUCGACAACUGUUAUUGCAGUAAUUGCACGAGAUUGUAAUGAAAAAUUCUUGACGGAAUCAACGCACUUGUUCGGACUACAUCUGUAUGAGUGGCUGAGGCCUUGGCCUUAAGGCUUGGUUCGAUUCUUGAAAACAGAUGGCAAUGGCAAUCUAUUAUCUUUGAAUCUAACAACAAGGAGCUGAUUUACUCUGUGAAGAAUAAAGUCGGUUAAAUUUUGAUAUAUCAGGAAAGCGUAAAAAAAAAGAGUUGAAAAUUUGAAGAAAAAACAACAGAACUGAAACAGGGACAUCGAUUUCAGGAGAAAAUAGCACAAAAAAUGAAAAACAAGCAAUUCUCAAAAUUCUUUUCAUUAGUUAUAUGAAGACAGAGAACUCAUUUCUUACAUCCAUUUGUAAGUUAUAUACAUUAUGCAAGCAAAGAACCCAGCCAUGCCCCCAGUCCUCAAACCUUGUUUUGAUUGACCAAAGCUUGCACUCAGGAGUCAAUGAUUCACCCAAAUUAAGAAUGUUCCUUGUAAAUUGUCAUCGAUUUUGACAGAUUUAUGGCUCAGUUGGGACCCCAACAGCUCAAGUACAUGACAGUCCUCAAAGACUCUUCUGAUUGUUUAUACUUGUUCAGUCCCUUUGAAAUUGCAGCUGAGGAUUGAGAGGAGAGGUUCUUGGCCUGUGAAGCUGACCUCACAUGGUUCUUGGCAUGCUGCACAACUGACCUUACUGUGUAGUUCCAUCUGCAAAUACCUUGAUCUUUCAGAGCCUCCACAGCUC
This 4680-nucleotide long non-coding RNA is filed under the name Gossypium raimondii (Peruvian cotton). RNAcentral's name for it is "long non-coding RNA (GRAI_LNC004189)". Lineage: Eukaryota; Viridiplantae; Streptophyta; Magnoliopsida; Malvales; Malvaceae. The record is from RNAcentral.